This 1306-nucleotide ribosomal RNA is filed under the name uncultured bacterium. RNAcentral describes it as "bacterial SSU rRNA". It matches the Rfam family "Bacterial small subunit ribosomal RNA", at positions 28 to 1381 of the family's 1533-position model. The record is from RNAcentral.
AACGUACGCUGGCGGCACGCCUAACACAUGCAAGUCGAACGAAGUAGCAAUACUUAGUGGCAGACGGGUGAGUAACAUGUGGGUAUCUGCCCUUUGGCCUGGAAUAACACGAGGAAACUUGUGCUAAUACCGGAUAAGUCUUUACGGAGAAAGCUUUAUGCACCAUUGGAUGAGCCCGCACUUGAUUAGUUUGUUGGUGGGGUAAUGGCCUACCAAGACUGUGAUCAAUAGCUGAUUUGAGAGGAUGAUCAGCCACAUUGGGACUGAGACACGGCCCAAACUCCUACGGGAGGCAGCAGUGGGGAAUCUUGCACAAUGGAGGAAACUCUGAUGCAGCGAUGCCGCGUGAGUGAAGAAGGCCCUUGGGUUGUAAAGCUCUUUCGUCGGGGAAGAAAAUGACUGUACCCGAAUAAGAAGGUCCGGCUAACUUCGUGCCAGCAGCCGCGGUAAUACGAAGGGACCUAGCGUAGUUCGGAAUUACUGGGCUUAAAGAGUUCGUAGGUGGUUGAAAAAGUUGGUGGUGAAAUCCCAGAGCUUAACUCUGGAACUGCCAUCAAAACUUUUCAGCUAGAGUAUGAUAGAGGAAAGCAGAAUUUCUAGUGUAGAGGUGAAAUUCGUAGAUAUUAGAAAGAAUACCAAUUGCGAAGGCAGCUUUCUGGAUCAUUACUGACACUGAGGAACGAAAGCAUGGGUAGCGAAGAGGAUUAGAUACCCUCGUAGUCCAUGCCGUAAACGAUGUGUGUUAGACGUUGGAAAUUUAUUUUCAGUGUCGCAGCGAAAGCGAUAAACACACCGCCUGGGGAGUACGACCGCAAGGUUAAAACUCAAAUGAAUUGACGGGGACCCGCACAAGUAGUGGAGCAUGUGGUUUAAUUCGAAGAUACGCGCAGAACCUUACCAACACUUGACAUGUUCGUCGCGACUCUAAGAGAUUAGAGUUUUCGGUUCGGCCGGACGAAACACAGGUGCUGCAUGGCUGUCGUCAGCUCGUGUCGUGAGAUGUUGGGUUAAGUCCCGCAACGAGCGCAACCCUCACUUUUAGUUGCCAUCAUUAAGUUGGGCACUCUGAAAGAACUGCCAGUGAUAAGCUGGAGGAAGGUGGGGAUGACGUCAAGUCCUCAUGGCCCUUACGUGUUGGGCUACACACGUGCUACAAUGGUAUCUACAACAGGAAGCAAGACUGCGAAGUUAAGCAAAUCCCUAAAAGAUACCUCAGUUCGGAUUGCACUCUGCAACUCGAGUGCAUGAAGCUGGAAUUACUAGUAAUCGUGGAUCAGCGUGCCACGGUGAAUGCGUUCCCGGGUCU